RNAcentral lists this transfer RNA (83 nucleotides) under Actinomycetota bacterium. RNAcentral describes it as "tRNA-Tyr". It matches the Rfam family "tRNA". Rfam says of the family: Transfer RNA (tRNA) molecules are approximately 80 nucleotides in length. Their secondary structure includes four short double-helical elements and three loops (D, anti-codon, and T loops). The record is from RNAcentral. Lineage: Bacteria; Bacillati; Actinomycetota.
GGGAGGGUGCCCGAGCGGCCAAAGGGAGCGGUCUGUAAAAUCGCCGGCUGACGCCUACGGAGGUUCGAAUCCUCCCCCUCCCA